AGUGAACGCUGGCGGUAGGCCUAACACAUGCAAGUCGAACGGCAGCACAGUAAGAGCUUGCUCUUACGGGUGGCGAGUGGCGGACGGGUGAGGAAUACAUCGGAAUCUACUUUUUCGUGGGGGAUAACGUAGGGAAACUUACGCUAAUACCGCAUACGACCUACGGGUGAAAGCAGGGGAUCUUCGGACCUUGCGCGAUUGAAUGAGCCGAUGUCGGAUUAGCUAGUUGGCGGGGUAAAGGCCCACCAAGGCGACGAUCCGUAGCUGGUCUGAGAGGAUGAUCAGCCACACUGGAACUGGGACACGGUCCAGACUCCUACGGGAGGCAGCAGUGUGGAAUAUUGGACAAUGGGCGCAAGCCUGAUCCAGCCAUACCGCGUGGGUGAAGAAGGCCUUCGGGUUGUAAAGCCCUUUUGUUGGGAAAGAAAAGCAGCAGGUUAAUACCCCGCUGUUCUGACGGUACCCAAAGAAUAAGCACCGGCUAACUUCGUG
Molecule: ribosomal RNA, 492 nt
Filed under: uncultured bacterium
Lineage: Bacteria
Description: partial 16S ribosomal RNA
Rfam family: Bacterial small subunit ribosomal RNA
Source: RNAcentral